This is a long non-coding RNA of Vidua chalybeata, 1377 nucleotides long. RefSeq lists it as uncharacterized. The record is from RefSeq and is a predicted model, not a curated record. The transcript has 3 exons. Lineage: Eukaryota; Metazoa; Chordata; Aves; Passeriformes; Viduidae.
UGUAUAUUCUUUCAGGCAGUAUAUGAAAGACAAGCUUUGUUUAUGUCUGCCCAGUCAGUAGAGCUCACAUCAUGCUUUAAGGUGCUUCAGUAAUUAGAAAAAUUGCUGACAGACAAAACUGGAAAAUAGAUGACAUGGGCUCAUUGUUGUUACUACAUUUAAAGCUUUUACCUUCAGCCUAAUAAGUGCCAGUUCCACUCAGGCUUAACUGUCUUGCUUACCUGCACAGCAGAGCCAGUUCUUUGUGUUAGGAAAAGAUGGGGCUUGUUACUGCUGAAAAGAAGAUUCAAGCUAACUUUUCUUUGUUUUAUGAAGAUUUGGUAAUUAGGUACUUUCUUCUGUAGAAAGAUGAGCUUCAUGAUGGCUCUCAGUCUUGGGAAAUUGGAUUACUGGUAGUUAGAAGAAUGUUGUCAUCAUAAAAGUUGCUGCUGCUUUUCCCAGUUGUUGCAAUCCCUGGUGACUGGAGCAGAUAUCCUCUAUCCUGCUUUUAGUCGCUUGGUUUUCCCAGACUUGGCUAAUACUCAUUCAUGGAUGCUGUGUGUAGUGACAUUGUCUCUUGGAAUAGUAUCUGCAUUAUUGCAAGUGUUGUCUUGCCUGUUUAUCCCACAUUGCCUUAAGCUUUAUUUACAUGAGAGUUUUGAAUUACUGGCUGUGACUGGAACUCUGCCUGAAAACACUUCACCUAUAAUGCAGCAGAAGCGGUUGGUUUGUGGCUUCUCUUUGAUAUAAUGUUUUCAUUAAGUAAAAACACAGAGAAGGGUAUUUUCAGAAGAUGUUAGUGUGCUUGUUUUGGACUGAGCCCUUUUCCCCAGUGAAUCAAUCAUUGCACAACUUGGCAUGACUGGCAUUCCCUGAUUGAGAGGCAGAAGCUCCAGCUUGCAGAUCAAAGUGGAGCAACCCAUUGGAAUUCGGGUGUCCCAGCAAAACCAGGCAGUGGAAGCUUGUGGGUGGCCUCUGUGCCAGGUUCAGGUGUCCUUCACCCGUGAUCCUUGAGGACAGGAGAGCUCUCUAUUCCAAGGAGGCUUUAAAGCUAAACACAGACCAAAAAAAGGAAGGACAGAGCGGUCACGUAGCUCCUACACUCAGGGAGGAUAGCUGAGAGAGACAACCUCUCAUCAGCUUCUGAAAAUCAGUGAUUAUAAAGCAUAACGCCUACGCUGUAAAAGGAGCUUCUGAUAAACCACAGCAGCUUCUUGUUGGCCACUGUCUAUCUGAGCAAGAGCUGAAUGGCUUAUUGAUCAUAUUUCUUCCCCAUAUGCUUGCACAUUUUUGCAGAGGUGAGGUAAUUUUGGCUAGGUCCUUGUUUUGUGGAUUUGGCCAUUUAGAUUUGGCUGUGGGGUGUCUUAAGGGCUUAAGUGUAAUAUCAGUGCAGGGGAA